This 395-nucleotide ribosomal RNA is filed under the name uncultured bacterium. RNAcentral's name for it is "bacterial SSU rRNA". It matches the Rfam family "Bacterial small subunit ribosomal RNA", at positions 505 to 898 of the family's 1533-position model. The record is from RNAcentral.
GUGUCAGCAGCCGCGGUAAUACGUAGGGGGCAAGCGUUGUCCGGAAUCAUUGGGCGUAAAGAGCGCGUAGGCGGUCCGGUAAGUCGGUUGUGAAAACUGGGGGCUCAACCCUCAGAGGCCGACCGAUACUGUCGGGCUAGAGUCCGGAAGAGGCGAGUGGAAUUCCUGGUGUAGCGGUGAAAUGCGCAGAUAUCAGGAGGAACACCAAUGGCGAAGGCAGCUCGCUGGGACGGUACUGACGCUGAGGCGCGAAAGCGUGGGGAGCAAACAGGAUUAGAUACCCUGGUAGUCCACGCCGUAAACGAUGGGCACUAGGUGUGGGAGGUGUCGACUCCUCCCGUGCCGAAGCUAACGCAUUAAGUGCCCCGCCUGGGGAGUACGGCCGCAAGGCUAAA